AAUCCUCAGCAAUUGGCAAAGCCCUUCUUUACAAUGCAUGACAGUCUUACUUCAUGGGCUGAAAGCCACUCUCUUCAAUGAGCAAAAGCUAAAUAACCUUUUGCAUCAUUCUCCUAUUUAUAGUGUUAAUUCCCUCAAUCCUAAUCCGAUUAGGAGUCCCACUCAAUUUAGAAAUAACAUUAAAAUAAGAGUUCUACUUUAUAU
This 204-nucleotide unclassified non-coding RNA is filed under the name Hevea brasiliensis (rubber tree). Lineage: Eukaryota; Viridiplantae; Streptophyta; Magnoliopsida; Malpighiales; Euphorbiaceae. The record is from RNAcentral.